RNAcentral lists this transfer RNA (82 nucleotides) under Puccinia graminis f. sp. tritici CRL 75-36-700-3. Its description in RNAcentral is "tRNA-Thr". It matches the Rfam family "tRNA". Rfam says of the family: Transfer RNA (tRNA) molecules are approximately 80 nucleotides in length. Their secondary structure includes four short double-helical elements and three loops (D, anti-codon, and T loops). Lineage: Eukaryota; Fungi; Basidiomycota; Pucciniomycetes; Pucciniales; Pucciniaceae. The record is from RNAcentral.
GCGUCUGUAGCCUAGUUGGUAAAGGCAGCACUCUAGUAUGUGUCUCCAGCGUUAGCUGAGGUCGUGAGUUUGACUCUCACCA